RNAcentral lists this transfer RNA (78 nucleotides) under Thermodiscus maritimus. Its description in RNAcentral is "tRNA-Arg". It matches the Rfam family "tRNA". From Rfam's summary of the family: Transfer RNA (tRNA) molecules are approximately 80 nucleotides in length. Lineage: Archaea; Thermoproteati; Thermoproteota; Thermoprotei; Acidilobales; Acidilobaceae. RNAcentral also lists the same sequence under 2 other names. The record is from RNAcentral.
GGGCCCGUAGCUCAGCCAGGAUAGAGCGCCGGCCUGCGGAGCCGGAGGCCCCGGGUUCAAAUCCCGGCGGGCCCGCCA